This 366-nucleotide ribosomal RNA is filed under the name Triticum aestivum (bread wheat). RNAcentral describes it as "partial small subunit ribosomal RNA". Lineage: Eukaryota; Viridiplantae; Streptophyta; Magnoliopsida; Poales; Poaceae. The record is from RNAcentral.
AUGGGACCGUUUCCUUCCUCUAAUGGGUAUACACAUAUUUUAGUUGCUGUUGAUUACGUUACUAAGUGGGUAGAAACUAUUCCAACUAGUAGUGCUGAUCAUAACACCUCUAUUAAGAUGCUUAAAGAAGUUAUUUUUCUGAGGUUUGGAGUCCCUAGAUAUUUAAUGACUGAUGGUGGUUCGCAUUUUAUUCAUGGUACUUUUCGUAAAAUGCUUGCUAAGUAUGAUGUUAAUCAUAGGAUUGCAUCUCCAUAUCACCCACAGUCUAGUGGUCAAGUAGAAUUGAGUAAUAGAGAGCUCAGAUUAAUUUUGCAAAAGACUGUUAAUAGAUCUAGAAAGAAUUGGUCCAAGAAACUUGAUGAUGCA